AUGAUAUGUAUGAUAUAAACUACACAUGGGUGUGAAGUCCAGAACAAUAAUAGCCCAGGUUUAUAGGGAUAUGGACCAUGGGGAUCAAAGUGGCAUGAGCUGGGCUUGAGACUUUUCUAGAAGUACCUCAUGCAGGGAAGUUAAGUGCCCGCAUGCCAAAGAUGAACUGAGAGAGCUGGAGGGAGAGACGACAGUUAAACGGACGGAGAAGGUGUGCCUGGGACUCAGCUGGAGGAGACAGAGCUGUGUACUGCCUGAGGACUCUAAAAAGUGCGACAGACCUGGCUCUGGACGGCGGCUCUGGGGGAGAGAGACUGAUCAAGUUCCCCGGCGGCCCCCGGUGAAGUGGAUAGCGAGACCGCAGUGUGGACGUCUGCGGCGAGCGGCAACGGGCUCCGACAUCAGCAAAUCCCGCUGGGCGGAGCGGAAGAGGAGUCUCCUGAUCGUGACCCCGUGUGGCGGUGGGCAGCGAGAUUGGUCGCCUGUCCGGUGUAUUCACGAGAUCCUGAUCCUGGAGAGUCCUGUACCGUGAGGGCAACCUGAAAACCAAGAAAGUACCGGAUUAAGUAGGUCGCCUGUCCGGUGUAUUCACGAGAUCCUGAUCCUGGAGAGUCCUGUACCGUGAGGGCAACCUGAAAACCAAGAAAGUACCGGAUUAAGUAGGUGAGGCGAUCUCCCUAUAUUAAAUCAAUAUCUACGGCAAGACACUCACAACACCCACUGCCUAUAUUAGGUAGGGUUCUCUCAAGCAAACCCGGGUGUAUCUAUAUUUGCUUGAGUGGAGGCACGCCAAAUUAUACAU
This is a long non-coding RNA of Pseudophryne corroboree (corroboree frog), 802 nucleotides long. RefSeq lists it as uncharacterized. Lineage: Eukaryota; Metazoa; Chordata; Amphibia; Anura; Myobatrachidae. The transcript is spliced from 3 exons. The record is from RefSeq and is a predicted model, not a curated record.